UCCGCACAGCGCCAGGAAUCAUGAUUCCCCAGGCCCCAGUGAAGAGGUUGGGUCAAAUGAAGCUCACAGAGGGUUCUCCGUUUUCCCAGGAUCCCCUAGCUAGUUAACAGAGAAGUGCAGCCCAGAACCCAUAUCCUCCACUUCUGAGUUACUGCCGGUGCCUUCAUGUGACACCACACCACAGAUACCAGCAGCACCAGAUCCCAGGCGCCAUCGUAGCUUUGUAAAGGGGCGGGGGGGGAUUUCCUAAGAUAUCUAACCACCAAAUCCUUUCAGCUAAAGGAGAAAACUCAAAGGCAAAAGAGUGUCAUUUGGCUUUUGCUACAGCUGGGCGAAACCUAGCAGGAAUGUCUUCCUUGGAGCUGGGUUUUCUUUCCUGUCUUUGAAGCGAGACAGCCCUCCUGCUGAAGACACGGCAAUGGAGACAGAAGAGAGAGGGGGAAGAGAGGGGACGGGAAGACACGAGAAACAGCCACGCGGGGUGUGCAACGAUGCCGCAUCCCUCAGGCGUCUGGCGACGAGCCAGUUCUCCUGAUGCUGAAACCCCGAACACCACCUUGCGGUAGUGACUCAAAUAAGGCAAACAGACUAAACAAGUGUGGCGUGACUCUCUCUUCAACAUAGAUUGAAGUGAACUGGUUUCUCAAGUGAACAGCAUCAAAGAACCGGCCUGAGGUCUUCUCAGUUAAUCUUGCUAAAGAUGGGUGAAGAAUACUCCAAAUGGAGAUUGCUACAAAAGCAACUGAUUUCCAAACUGAUUUGACUGUUUGUGGAGCUAGGAUCGCAGGGAGCACAUUUUAGGAAAUGUUGCCAAUGGAUUAUAACAGGACGUGGCUUUAUCCCUGACAGCAACCCUACCCCGGCAAGGUUUAACGUAGAAUCAAUUUUCUUUAAGGCAGAGAAACAAAUGAGAAAAUACCAGGCAGAGAGAAAUAACAAGUACUUGGCUGUAUACCACAGUAUUUGUCUGGGGGCCUCAAUUUUCUCACGUUGAGA
This is a non-coding RNA of Vicugna pacos (alpaca), 996 nucleotides long. The record is from RefSeq and is a predicted model, not a curated record. NCBI's taxonomy places the organism in Eukaryota, Metazoa, Chordata, Mammalia, Artiodactyla, Camelidae.